RNAcentral lists this ribosomal RNA (440 nucleotides) under uncultured bacterium. RNAcentral's name for it is "partial 16S ribosomal RNA". It matches the Rfam family "Bacterial small subunit ribosomal RNA", at positions 338 to 795 of the family's 1533-position model. The record is from RNAcentral.
CCUACGGGGAGCAGCAGUAGGGAAUAUUGCUCAAUGGGGGAAACCCUGAAGCAGCAACGCCGCGUGGAGGAUGAAGGUUUUCGGAUUGUAAACUCCUUUUGUUAGAGAAGAUAAUGACGGUAUCUAACGAAUAAGCACCGGCUAACUCCGUGCCAGCAGCCGCGGUAAUACGGAGGGUGCAAGCGUUACUCGGAAUCACUGGGCGUAAAGGGCGCGUAGGCGGGAUAGCAAGUCAGAUGUGAAAUCCUAUGGCUUAACCAUAGAACUGCAUUUGAAACUGUUAUUCUAGAGUAUGGGAGAGGUAGGUGGAAUUCUUGGUGUAGGGGUAAAAUCCGUAGAGAUCAAGAGGAAUACUCAUUGCGAAGGCGACCUGCUAGAACAUAACUGACGCUGAUGCGCGAAAGCGUGGGGAGCAAACAGGAUUAGAUACCCCGGUAGUC